GCUGCCCUGCAGCUGCUGGUAUGGCCGGCACCACAGACGCAGCUGCCGUGCUGCACCUGUGACCUCGGGGCAAAGAGGAAGUGGCUAUUUCUACGCUCAGUGUUCAGAACAGUGAGCACUAAGAAUGGUUUGUAGCCUGACAUUU
Molecule: non-coding RNA, 145 nt
Organism: Pteropus alecto (black flying fox)
Lineage: Eukaryota; Metazoa; Chordata; Mammalia; Chiroptera; Pteropodidae
Source: Rfam